UGUAUAAACUGUCUGUUUGGUUAAAGUUCUUCAUAAGCAUCAGCUUACGUAUUAUAAAUUUGAUUAUCCUCAAUAGAAUAUGAAAUUGAACCAUGAUUUUAUGUUACGAUGUGUGUCAUGUGCAGGGUUUAUGAAGAGUCAUGAUGUUUUCAGAACAUAUAUUUUAGCCCUGAGACAAGUUCAGUUGUAUCAACGACAUAUACGAGGUAAGGUGUCAUGAGAGUCUGUGAAGGUAAAUGAGACUAUGUUAUCCAUGGUUCGAUUGUGAACAGGUCGCCAGUGCAUUGCAGGAGAGCUACACUUACUAUUUGUGUAAGUGGCGGGUGCUACCGCUAGAUUAGGACACUACCUUUCCGCGAACGCCUGGUCUCAUCACUGUUUUACAGUGAUCCAUUUAUAUAUUUUUCAGAACUAUGUUGUCUUUUACGCCCAAGGGAACCUGUUGCGGUUGAUAAUCAAGACUGAUUAUGAUUGUUUUGGGUUUGGAUGUAUUUCUUAGACAGGUGAUGUAGCUAAAGUCAAAACGUUGAUGACAACCAUGGAUGUGAUUGGUCUCACAACAAUUUCCACCAGUGGCUUUGGUUGUUUUGAUAAAAUGUGUUAACAUCUUCUUUUUCCCUCCUGGUGCCCAUUGUGUUACCUGAUUGUAACCUUGAUUUCUAUGCUCGAUGAAUGUUUUCCAAGUCCAAAUUCACUCACGACUAGUGUUAUAAGUAGGACAGGUUAUAUGAACUGCUUUCGAAAACAACUGUUACGGUUUACUUUGAUUCAUGAGUAUAGAAAUAAGAAUUCCAUUUUGUUUGUUGACUUUUUUGCUGUCUGUUGUGACAGAUUCAUCAACAUAAAGACACGUGUACAUAGAAGGUAUUGAAGUUUUAAUGUCUUCUUAAUCCAGGCUCCAUACAACACUGUGCAGUAUGAGAUCAACAGCCCCCUGUCCAGUCCUCUUGGACGCCUGUACUUCAUGGUGGAUCCAAACACUGGCGACGUCAGCCUUAGGUGCUAUCUGGACUCGGACACAAGCUACACUAGUGUAUACACAUUGGUUGUUGAUGCAGUAGAUGGAGGCGGUAGAAGGGCAAACCUGCCUGCCAAUGUUAAAAUCACCGUGGACAGAAAGACACCGCUGCAGCCUACUAAGGACAACAAUACCAUGUCACUCAGAGCCUCUGUCUGUUGUCAGGAACCUCUACCACCGUACUGGGGUGGAAGCAGUAAGAUUUAUAUCACUUAGGUACUCAGCACCAAAGGUACUCGAGUUCCAUCAUAUAAAACAAUGAUAUUUAAACAGUCACAAUUUGCUAAAUACUUAAAUUUACAAUACUAUCUGGUUACAAUAUGUCAUAAGCGUCUUCAUCUGUCCGAGGUAGAUUUCAAUGAAGAGGAAAGUCUUCACGCAUGCAAAAAAUAUUCUGUGAUUAUUUGUAUUCCUGCUGAGCACAUUACGAUGCUGAUACUUCAGUGCUACUUUUCAAUGAUCUAAUGAAAUUAAUUUUAGUAGGUUGAUAUUCUCCCUAAAGGGAACGACCAUAAAACUUGCAAAGGAAGUUCAAAUCUAGAAAGUGUCAGUCCAUCACCUAUCUACGGGGUCCGGUACAUGUCAAUGAAUGAGUUGGAUGGAAGUGUGUGUGUGUGAAUAUAUAUUUAUCACUGUGUUCAUGUUUACAUGUAUCAUUCGUAUUUUUGUUGACAGUUGUCAAAGUAUGCUUCGAUUGAUAAUUGUAUAUUGAUAUCAAUAUUAUAUUUUACAAUGUUUAACACAUAUACUUUUUCUUCAGAACAACUGUUUUGCUCAACCAUUUCCAAUGCUGUUUUUGCAGUUGACACAAACGAUGUGCAAUGGUAGAAUAUUACUGUAUGUGUAUUCUAGUCAUUUCUGUAUUCAACCAUCUUAUGCACUGAGGGAAUACAAUAUCGGAAUCAUAUAUGUGUAUGAGGAAGCAAGUAUCAUGCAAGGGGGGGAAUGAUUAUCCAGUAUUUAUUUAUUAAUAUAUUUAUUAAUUUGUUUGUUUGUUUAUUUGUUUGUUUGUUUGUUUAUUUAUUUAUUUAUAUUCUUGUGCAUUUUUUAAUGAUGUAUUGAAACAUACACCAUAUAUGUUUAACUUGCAAAGUGACUACCAUAGGUCUUAACUACCAAGACGUCAGAUGAAUUAGAAACAGUGCUUGGUAAGAAAUUGCAUUAUGUUUGAUUCUAUCAUAAUGUCAUUGCUAAGAAAUAUUAUCAAACAGGUUACACUGUAGGUAUAAAACUGACCCUUUGCCGUAGCACUGUUUUUAUCAUUAUCAAUAUAAUAAGAGCUUUGUCACUUUUAUGUAACCCUGGGCUUGUUCACUUCUCUCUUUUUUCAGGGAUCCAAUCAUGAUUGUCAGCGCUAUUUUGCCUUGUUUACGCCCAAUAAACCCUGCCACUCCAAACUAUCUCGCGUAGGCUGAUAUCAAAAUGGCAAUCUGGAGUAGCUUUAGGACUCAGGAAUCAUCACUGUUGCUUUCUACAAUUAACUGCGUUUUACUCUUUUCUGAUAGAGCAUCCAUGUAUCAGGUAAGUCACAUCAAAUGUCACAGGUAAGCGUAAACGUGAACCAAGGAUAUGCCACACCCCGGCGAACAAUGGACAUGGCGCACCCUAAUGAAAUGCCUAUGGGUAAUGGCGGACAAGACAAAGAGUCGACCCAUGAAAUAGAUUGGUGAGCUGGAAAAUAUACGGUGGGUAACAGAAUAGUAUAUGUCAUAAAGUGAUUUCUUUCGUCAGUUUAAUACCACAAAGAAGCCUGGGUUCCUGUCGUGUAUUCACCAAGCCAGCAGUAUUGGGGCAAAUCAAACACACUUAGAAUUUGUUUAAAGUUCAACCAGAAAGCAAUCUGCUGAUAGAAUGCCAAGGGGAGUCGUGCUUCCCGAUUAUAGCAGGUCAUAUCGGGGCCUUCCUCACGUUCAGCUUCAUUCAACAGAAAGGUAAAACGUGUAAGUUAUAUACUUAUAGAUAAAGAAAUAAUAACAUUAAAGUUGAUUCAUCAUCUCAAUUUGGUGUAUGGUAGUGUAUUAACGCUCGUCAUACUCAUUUGAGAACACUGUGAAACAUUACAGAUUUAUGUGCGGAACGAGGACAAUGGCAGACCCAAACUGUAUGACCUCGCCCUUGUUGAACUCACCAUCAACGGGAACCGGAACCGGAACCUUCUAGAGACCAGGCCAACUGGAGACGUUGUUCUCAGAGUGACAUCUUCGGAUGCCGAUAACCUGGACCCAUGUGACCCAUCGAAAAGGAGUCGCCCUACCUGUUUCCUGACAAACCUGGAGGCAUCCCCAAUAUUCAGAGUGUCCACUCUCUCUCACACACGCUCACACACGUAGGGCCCCAGUAGUAAACAUGUGAAAGAAGUCGACUUAUGAGAAUAGAAUGGUUACAGAGUUUGACCUGGUUGAUUGUGUGUCAAAGUGUAUGGUUGUUCAUUACUUCAGUCACUAGUUUGCCCGACCCGUAAAGAUCCGGGUUAGAAUAAGCCUUCAGCAACCCAUGCUUGUCUUAAAAGGCGACUAAAGGGAUCGGGUUGUCAGACUCGCUGACUUGGUUGAUGCAUAUCAUCGUAUCCCAAUUGUCUUGAUUCUAUUCUUUUACGGACCGCCGUCACAUAGCUGGAAUAUUGCUGAGUCGGUGUUAAAAAACAACAAACAACCAGUUUUCCUAGUCCAGAUUUGCUUGUUUACAGGUCAUAACUAGCUGCAAUAUAGCUGCAUGCGGCAUUAGAAUGCAUUAACUCAGAUCUUGUGUACAUUGUUUAUCUUAUGAAUUAAUUCACAUAUUUGUAACCCAAUAAACAAUUGUUGUAAACUU
Molecule: long non-coding RNA, 3829 nt
Organism: Haliotis rufescens (red abalone)
Lineage: Eukaryota; Metazoa; Mollusca; Gastropoda; Lepetellida; Haliotidae
Exons: 3
Source: RefSeq, a predicted model, not a curated record